Long non-coding RNA from Larimichthys crocea (large yellow croaker), 903 nucleotides. RefSeq lists it as uncharacterized. The record is from RefSeq and is a predicted model, not a curated record. NCBI's taxonomy places the organism in Eukaryota, Metazoa, Chordata, Actinopteri, Sciaenidae. The transcript is spliced from 2 exons.
UGUGUGUGUGUGUGUGUGUGUGUGUGUGUGUGUGUCCUGGGGGCGGGGCUUAAAGCGACAUCACUCUGUCAGCUGACACAUCGGGUCAGAUGACGUCAUCUCGUUGUCUCUGUCAGGUAAUUUGCAGGUACAGGUGGAGCAGAUCAUACACGUGCUCUUUUUGUCCAGUGAUGCUGAAUGAUGACGUCACAAACCAGCACAGAUCUGAUUUGUAGUUUGUAGUUUGUAGUUUGUAGUGUUGAAGCUGAAGUCCUACAUCAAGCAAGUUUGAAGAUUCCAGCAGACUGGUCAGGUCACAGACGUUACAAAGUGUUGAUGUUGAUCAGUGUUUGAGUCUUUUUACGGAUUCUGGUCUCGGACUCUCGGACGGUAAAUCAUCCCGUCCUGGCUGAGCUCGUGCAGCUGCCGUGUGGGGAGGGAACAAAUCACUCAGACUACUCAUUACUCCCGAGUCAUAUAAAAGAUUUGUUCAAAUUGAACGAUACGUUCACGACCGACACACCACUAAUGUUGAUGAACAGAGUGGGAACAUGAACCAACCUUCACCCUCAGCCUCCUGGUCACCUUCUGGACCUUCUCUACCAAUCGGCCUUGCUCCUUCUGAACCCCCAGGCUGUCCUCCAGAAGUGUGGUGCUCUGUCCUUGAGAGUCUCUCCACCCACAGGUUUCCCUGUUCAGGUUGUCUGGAUUCUGUUCUGCAGUCCUUUGUCCGGUCUUUGUGCUGCUCCUGGUCCUCCUGCUCCUGCUCCUGCUUCUUGGACUCCUCCUUUCGUCUGUCAUUAAAGUUUCUGUCAUGUCACUUUUAUUUGACUUGUAGACAUAUGGUCAUUGCUGCUUUAUAUACAUUAUAUUUACAUAAUUAUCUACUUGUGUAUGUGAUAUGAUAAUAAACUACUAACCAUA